Long non-coding RNA from Panonychus citri (citrus red mite), 4398 nucleotides. RefSeq lists it as uncharacterized. The transcript is spliced from 6 exons. The record is from RefSeq and is a predicted model, not a curated record. Lineage: Eukaryota; Metazoa; Arthropoda; Arachnida; Trombidiformes; Tetranychidae.
UAGAUUAUCAUGCAAACACAAGAAAACAAUUAAAAAGGUUAAAAUUUAAAUUAAAAGAAAACCGGAAACCAAGACAAUUAAUAAACUCGCAAGUGUAACAAUUAGUCACAAAUGAUUAACAACCAACGGAAAAUAAUAACCGGCGACUGAUCAUGUGACCGAUUGAGCGGGUUAAUUUUCUGGUUCCAUUUUCGGUUUAAUUGUUUACUUUAAUUACGUUUUUAAUUGUUUGUUGUUUCAUCGUUUAUUCAAUUGAUUUAGUUAAUUUUUUCUUCUCAAUUUCGCACAAUUCAAUGGUUUCACUGGUUGUCAAUUGGUACACUGAUCAAGUAAAUAACAUGUUACAUUUAACCUCCUGGUUAACUUUUGGAUUAGAAAAUGAUAAGUAGCCAUUUUUUUUUAUUCUCAAUCUUUUGGAUUACCUUUAUUAUUUUAAACGAUUGAUUUUCAUGUUCAGUUAACUAAAUUGAUUAACUGUAUUUUUCUGUGAACAUUGAUGGCUGUGUAAAUAAUUAAGUUAUUUACAAUUCUACCAUCAUGUAGCCUUUGUUACAAUUUGUUCUCUUUCAAAAAAAGGAUUCUUAAUAAAUGACGUGUAGUCCUGGUUUAGUUUUAGCAGAAAUUCUGUUGAUUCUCUUUGCAGUAACGAUCAAAGUUCAGACUCUUGUUCAACUAACAAGACUUAACAAUUCAAUCAAUUCAAUUCAAUGUUUACAUGGAAGAAACAAAAAAAACAGAAAGAAAGUCUUGAAUCUCUCAUCUUUUCUCAUUGGCAUAAAUUUUUACCAUUGGAAAAGCAUAAAUUACAAUUGAAUGGAUUCCUUAGUAAUCAAAAUUGGCAAUGAUGAUGAAGGAUAUUUACUAUCAUAAUGAUUAACAACAAUAAUAAUAACAAUAGUGGACAUAAUUGCAAAGACAUAAUCUGAUGAUUAUUUUUACGAUUAAUUAAUGAUUAAGAAGCGACAAAAAUUACGAUGACACAAGAGCCCUGAUUUCCUGAUAUCAGAAUGAAUUCAAAUUAUGUGUAUUAACGUGAUUUUUUAUCUCAUUUAAAAUCAUUUGGAAUAAUAAACAACACUAACAAUGGAAAGCAAAUAAAAUUGUUUCCUCAUAUAUGCCCAAUAGGAGAAGGAAAAUAUAUAAAGAAACUCAUGGAAAUUGGUGAGAUGAAAAAGAAGAAAAGAAAAUUUAUUGAAUGAGAAUUGAUGAUGAGAAAGUAAACCGGAAAGAAUUAAAUAUCAGAAUGAUGAUAAUGUGAAGUUUGUUCAGUGGUCAGUGUAAAGAAAAUGAAGAGAUGACAGAAGAUUAAGAGAUGAUAGAAAAAGAUUGAAUCUCUUUUUUCUUCUUCUUCUCUAUUCUCUCAAUAAAAGUUUUCUCUUAACAUGAUAAGCUUUGCAACGGAUCGGCGAUAGUGGCCUCUAAAUUUAUGGGAAUCAGGAAGAAUUGUCUGAGCUUAUCUUCAUCAUCUUCAUUUCUCAUCUAUGUACUUGUGAUUAUAUUAAUGAUUAACUAAAAAGCUCAUAAACAAGAUGAUGCUAAUAUAAAGUUCAUUACAUUGAACAUUCUUGGCUCAUCAAUUGAUCAAUAUCUUCACACUUGAACACAAUUCAUGCUGAUAAUUCAAAUUCUGAUCCAAUUUGAUCAUCACCCUAAUACUAAUAAUCGUUUAUUAGAAUCUCUCUCUCUCUCUCUCUCUCUCUCUCUCUCUCUCUCUCUCUCUCUCUGACCUCAGUUAAUUGUUAUUAUCACCUGAGAGACUAAUUGCCUAACCAAUUACCAUUAAUUACUUUGAUUUAUACUAAUAUUGUAGCAAAAAGUUUUACUUUCCCAAAAAUGAGACAAAACCAUGACAAAAAUCAUGAUAAUCAUAUUAAUCCCUUUUAAUUUGAUUCAAUUUGAUUAAUUAUUCACAGGUAACAUUGAUUUAUCUCGUUAAUUGUUAUUGAAUCUCAUUUUCUAUCAACUGCAAAUGUAUUUAUAUAUCAAUAUAAUAAUUUAUUCAACCUCUCAAUGAAUUGAUUGUUGUUGAUCAUUGAUUCACUUCAUUGAUUGUUGUGGUAACAAUCAAAUCAAUCAUUGAGAAUAAGAGAGAGAGAGAGAAAAAAAUUAAAAGCUAAUUAACACCAACCCACACACACACUCACUCACAAAACUAACAAUUACUAGAUAUUUGCUUUCCUAAUUUACUUAAUUACAUCAAUCAACGACGAUGAAGAAAAAAAAAAUUAAAUUUCAAUUGUGAUUAACUUGAUUGUUGUAUUACUGUUAUUGUACUUGAAUGGCAAUAGCUUCCAGUUAAUUGUUGACCUAAAAAAUUAAUGUUGAUCAGUGAUAAUCAUAUAUCCCUAGUAAAAAGCUAACAAUUAUCGAUGACGAUCAGACAAUUAACUGACAGCUAUUAAAUAUAUUUUGUUAAUUUAAUUUUUUUCUUCACCAAACUGAAAACACUAUUAACCUGAUAACCUGAUGAUCAGUAAAUUGUGUAAUUGAUGAUAAUGAUAACCUUUUAACAAUCAAGACUUUGAAUAUCAAAUUCAUUGAUAAUCAAAGUUUUUUUUUUCUUCUCAUUUUCAUUAUCCUUAACAAUCAAUUUGUAAGUCCACAACAAUUAAGAAUCAAAGUAAAUCAAGUUUUCUGCUUGAUUAGUGAGCAGUGAUGAUGAUGAUAAUCAAUACUUUUCAUUUUCAUCCCUAAUCACAAUUAUCAUCAAUCAAUUGAUUUUUUUCCCUCUCUCAAGUAUAUUGAUUAUUUGAAAGUGUGCUAACUAAUUGAUUUGAUGUUUAACUAAUACAACCAAUCAAUUGUUAUAUAUAAACAAUCAAUUUUAAUCAAUCAAAAUCAACUUUAUCUCAAUAUCAUAAUCAACAAAAUAUAAUAAGUUAUUAAAAUAUUAACAAUAAUACAAUUAAACUUAAAUGAUUAACUGGAAAAACUGAACCAAAUCAACUGAAGAUUAUGAUAGAUUAGCAAAUGAUGAAGAUUAUCAAGUUAAUCUGAUUAAACGUUAAAUUAUCUUGGGCAUUUUAAUAGUGAUUUAGGAAUGGAAAAUAUUGUUUCACAAUUAACUGUAAAUGAUUAACUUUUUUUUUAUUAUCUCUCUGCAAGUUACCAGUUUCUGGUUUCUUGAAAUUCUCAACCAUUAAUGAUUAUGAUUAUUGUUAUUAUUUUCGUACCCAAACUGAAUCAAUCAAUGAAUUUAGGUUACCUGGUGCUGGUGUUGUCUUUAUAUUAAUAUCAUCACCCACCCCGGAAGGUAGUCGGCCUGGUUACCCUUUCUCACUUUAAUCAUAAAUAAUCAAAAAUAAUUCAGUUUCACACCAACUCAAUAUUCACAGGUAACAUGAUAACAAUAAUACCAACUAAUAAUAAGUAAUAACUUUAUUUUCCUGAUCAAGAGUUAAUCAUAAUCAUAAUUAUCUUCAUCAUCAUCAUCUUCGUCCUCUGUCAUUAAAACAACAACGACACUACGAUUAAUUGAUUGUUGUCAACGAAAGUUUUUUUUCACGAUUUAACUGUUAAUUAUUAAUUGGAUUUUACAAUCAAUAGUUAAUCAAGGUGAUUAUACUGGUUAUAUGGAUUAAAAGCUUUUAAUUAUUAAUCAACUUUUGUCUAUCUGUCCAAUGGUUUGAAAAUUUGUUUAUUUCCAAUUGAAGUAACUUUUGAUUCUUGAUUAUUAUUAUCAUUAUCAUGGUGAUUAUGAUGAGGAUAAUAUUAACUAAUGUAUACGGUUCAUGGAGUCCAUUAAAGUCACGGUGGGAUAAUUUUGAGAAGAGACAGAGGAGAGAGAGAGAGAGAGAGAGAGAGAGGGGGGUGAGGUGGGCAUGAUGAUGAUGAUGAACAUUAAUAUAAUAAUUGACAAAUUGUUACUAUGACUUUGAUCAUCAUCUUCAUCUGAACCGGAAUUGAUUGUGAACAAGAAAACUUAUUACUCUUCAUUCAGAUUCUCAUAACUUUCCCUGAACUUUUUUCAUUCAUUUAUUAGGUAAAAAUUAUCAUCAUCAUGUGUUACCUGUAUUUCUGGGGGACUUUACUUUCACAGGUAAAUUAACUUCCUGAAUUUUUGGUAACAUGAUUAAGAUUAUGAUUUAGAUUAUGAUAUAAUUGUAUUGCAACUUAUAAUCUAACCCAAAGGCUCAACAAGUGAAAUGAUUAAGUUUUAUCAAUUGAUUUGAUUUUCUUAAUUGUCUUGGAUUAAUUUGACAAUUUAAUCUGUCCUUUAAUCAUGAUUAAUAAUAUUUAUCUAUGUGAUUUUUGUUAGUUAAUCAUUAACAAUUUAUUUUCCUCGCCAUUAAUCAUUUGGUUUAAUCACGAAUUUAAACUUUAUGUUUUAAUUGUUUCUAAUAUUUAAUUUUGAUUGUAACUAUAAUUAUAAUCAUGGUUAAGGAAUUUAAAUUGUAC